RNAcentral lists this unclassified non-coding RNA (384 nucleotides) under uncultured fungus. RNAcentral's name for it is "partial contains ITS1, 5.8S rRNA and ITS2". The record is from RNAcentral. Lineage: Eukaryota; Fungi.
AACGCACAUGGCGCCUUUCGAGGCAUGCUUGUUUCAGUGUCUUUCCACCUCACGCCGCCCCCCGGGGCGCGCGCUGGUAUCUGGGCUUCACGACGAGUCUUCGUCGCGCAGCCUCAAGGACGCGAAUGCAGCCCACGCAAUCGGCCCGCAAGCCCCGAGGACUCGGGCGCGGGUAGAGCGCGCGCGGUGUGGUAGUGACUUCGGUCUACAUUCCCCCGUGCGCCUCGCCCGCGCCGAGGUAGAACCUAAACGACCCUCGGACCAGCGCUUCGGUGCACGCGCGUGCGACUGACGCAGAGGCAACUCGCAGGGGGGCGCUCCGGGCGCCCCACCCCCCAUUCACCCUUUGACCUGAAAUCAAGUAAGAGGACCCGCUGAAUUUAA